Molecule: small nucleolar RNA, 122 nt
Filed under: Neotoma lepida (desert woodrat)
Lineage: Eukaryota; Metazoa; Chordata; Mammalia; Rodentia; Cricetidae
Description: Small nucleolar RNA SNORD22
Rfam family: Small nucleolar RNA SNORD22
About the family: U22 is a member of the C/D class of snoRNA which contain the C (UGAUGA) and D (CUGA) box motifs. U22 is encoded within the U22 snoRNA host gene (UHG) in mammals and has also been identified in Xenopus.
Source: Rfam by way of RNAcentral
UCCCAGUGAAGAAUUCUUGCAUUUCAAUUCCUGUUCUAGCCCCAGAGCUUCCUGAAGACGAACUUACUGGGGCUGGCGGAAAAAGAGAAGAACAUUGUUCCAGAAGGAAUUUCCCGAGGGAU